This is a long non-coding RNA of Anguilla rostrata (American eel), 780 nucleotides long. RefSeq lists it as uncharacterized. The transcript has 2 exons. Lineage: Eukaryota; Metazoa; Chordata; Actinopteri; Anguilliformes; Anguillidae. The record is from RefSeq and is a predicted model, not a curated record.
GGUCGGGUUGUUUUUAGGGACAUGUCAACGUUGUACAUGUUUGUGUCACUCCUGGGAUUUUAAGACUGCUUGGGUGUGGGGGUUUGGGGAGGGGCCUAGGCCAGGGGCGGGGUGCUGUCAGGGUCAAAUGUGUCCUGAGAAGGAUAGUCACGACACCACCCCUUUGCCAGGGGGAUGGAGGGAUUGUGGGGUGGGGAGGUUGGGGUGGAGGGGUUGGUGGUUGGGGGCGGAGGGGGUGCAGAAUGCCAUCUCGUCUGUCAUCAUUCUGUGUUUUUUCUUCACCAGUGCAUGAACUUUGCAUUUGUUGGUCGGCUGGUCGGUCGGUUGGCAGCUCAUUUGGUCUGUCAGUCGGUUGGUCGGUCAGGCGGUCAGCUGGUCGGUCGGCAGAUCGGCUGGUCGGCUGGUCGGUCGAAAGAUCAGCAGGUCGGCUGGUCGGUUGGUCGAUUGGCAGGUUGGUGGGUUCUGCAGUGAGUCCCUGGCUGGCCUGCAUAUGCAGCACUGCGUGUUAGAAGAGUUUUAAAUUAUUUUAUACCUUUUUAUUUUUUUUGUUUGUUUGUUUUUGUAAUGAUGAUUAUUAAAAUUGUAAAUGUAUGAAGAAACGGAUGUUCCAUGGUGCUGUGCAUCCACGUUCUCCCAAGAUUCCUGUCUGCUCUCCUGGAAAUGCUUUGUUCCCAUGAUGGAGGUCAGUGUGUUAUGAUCCUGUCUCCUGUGUACAGAGUUGUCCUACCAAUAUCCAUGUACAUAAAAUCAACUAAAUAUAUAUAACAAGUAAAGACCACA